RNAcentral lists this unclassified non-coding RNA (21 nucleotides) under Mus musculus (house mouse). RNAcentral's name for it is "oocyte_clustered_small_RNA3891". The record is from RNAcentral. Lineage: Eukaryota; Metazoa; Chordata; Mammalia; Rodentia; Muridae.
UGAAGAGGGAGAAGGGGAUGA